GCCCCCGUGGCCCAACUGGCAGAGGCAGGCGACUUAAAAUCGCCAACGGUGAGGGUUCGAGUCCCUCCGGGGGUACCA
This 78-nucleotide transfer RNA is filed under the name Terrabacter sp. MAHUQ-38. RNAcentral describes it as "tRNA-Leu". It matches the Rfam family "tRNA". From Rfam's summary of the family: Transfer RNA (tRNA) molecules are approximately 80 nucleotides in length. Their secondary structure includes four short double-helical elements and three loops (D, anti-codon, and T loops). Lineage: Bacteria; Bacillati; Actinomycetota; Actinomycetes; Micrococcales; Intrasporangiaceae. RNAcentral also lists the same sequence under 1 other name. The record is from RNAcentral.